Molecule: transfer RNA, 73 nt
Filed under: Treponema sp.
Lineage: Bacteria; Pseudomonadati; Spirochaetota; Spirochaetia; Treponematales; Treponemataceae
Description: tRNA-Pro
Rfam family: tRNA
About the family: Transfer RNA (tRNA) molecules are approximately 80 nucleotides in length.
Source: RNAcentral
CGGGAUGUAGCCUAGCGGCUAAGGCGCUUGCUUUGGGAGCAAGAGAUCGACGGUUCAAGUCCGUCCAUCCCGA